Molecule: non-coding RNA, 844 nt
Organism: Labrus mixtus (cuckoo wrasse)
Lineage: Eukaryota; Metazoa; Chordata; Actinopteri; Labriformes; Labridae
Source: the annotation of a RefSeq genome assembly
CCAGAGGACAGGUCACAGUGACUCAGCCUGCAGCAGUGACCUCUGCUCUGGGAGCCUCCGUCUCCAUCUCAUGUAGGACCAGUCAGAAUGUUUAUGUCGCGAGCAGCUACCACUGUUUAGCCUGGUACCAACAGAAAGAUGGAGGAACUCCUAAACUCCUCAUUUACUAUGCUAGCACUCGAGCAUCAGGGAUUCCAGAUCGUUUUUCAGGGAGUGGAUCAAACUCUGCCUUCACUCUGACCAUCAGUGGAGUCCAGACUGAAGAUGCAGCAGUUUACUACUGUCAGAGUUUUCAUGUCAUCAACAGUCAGCAUGUGUACACGUUCGGUGGAGGAACCAGACUGGAUAUUGGAAGUGAUGUGCGUCCCACCCUGACGGUGCUGCCCCCCUCCAAUGAGGAGCUGGAGCAGGGGAAGGCCACCCUCAUGUGCCUGGCCAACAAAGGCUUCCCCUCAGGCUGGAGUCUGGCCUGGAAGGUGGACGGCAGCAGCAGCAGCAGCAGCUGGGAGGAGAGCAGGAGCCCUGCGGUGCUGGAGAAGGACGCUCUCUACAGCUGGAGCAGCACCCUGAGGCUCUCUGCAGACCAGUGGAGGAAGGUGGGCUCUGUGACCUGUGAGGCCACCCAGGGCGCCCAGGCUCGAGUCACAGAAAGUCUGAGUAGAGACCAGUGUUCCCAGUAAUGCCUCACUGGGACUGUGCUGCUGGUUUUACUGUGAUACUGCUCUCACUCUGCACCUCUCUCUCUCUUUAUUUCAUGUUUCUAAAGAAUAAAUAUUAGCUUGUUGCUUCAUAUGUGUGUGUAUUGUUUCCUGAUAAUCUGUUCAUUAAAUCAAUGAGAAAUACA